RNAcentral lists this long non-coding RNA (1002 nucleotides) under Nicotiana benthamiana. Its description in RNAcentral is "long non-coding RNA (NBEN_LNC031655)". Lineage: Eukaryota; Viridiplantae; Streptophyta; Magnoliopsida; Solanales; Solanaceae. The record is from RNAcentral.
ACCUCUGACGUCUCUUCUCUCUCAAAAUACUCUCAAGCACUCAAAACCCUAACAACCGCCUACCCUUCGCCGAUCAUUAUCUCACCGGAGUCCAUGGCUUCUCGGACCAUGGAUGGCCUGUACUCACCUUCCUUCACCCCCAAACCAUGGGUAUUUGAGAUUUUGAGGUCUGGCCUCGAUGGACAUAUCUAUGGUUCUAUAGCCUCUCUGGCCUUGCUCCAACGUAUUCGAGCUUUAGGAGGCUAGCUAUGGCAAUCUCCGACUCAGACCGGAUAUUCUUCCAAGCCUUCUCAUUUCUAGGGUUUCAGAGAAAACCUAAAGCUACUCGAGGUUUUUCUGUAUUUGUUUUCUUAGAUCUAUGCUAUAUAUGUGCUAUAUUCGACAUUUAAAGGGUUUUCCCAAAUUUUCUUUUUUAAGAUCGUUUAAUUUUCAAACUAGGGAUUCUGGAAACAUUGUGAUUCUUUCUUCUCUUUUCCUUAUGUGUGUUUCUCUGUGUUUGUCUUGAAUAUUUUCUUCUCUACUACGCAUGUGCGUGAUCUUCUGCUUUUCUUUCUAUUAAGCAUGAUCCUUCUAAGCUUUCCAUUCUACUGUGCCUCUUGAAUAGGCUCGCAUGACUAUCUCUGCUAUGUUUCCCUACAUGAUUUUUAUUGUACGUGUCUCCUACUAGGUUCUUUAUGUUUUCUUGCUUUACCAGAUUUUAUCGAGUUCUUCCUAAACAUGUUUCAUCUACUGUUUCCUAAGUUUAUACAUCACCUCUUUUCUUUUCCUAAAAUUUUCUUAAGCUCCGAGUAUUUUUUUAAAACGUGUUCUUUAUGUUUUUUCACUCAAUUGCUUCAAACCUACUACUGUGUCUGUGUGUUUACUCAUGAGGCUUUGAAAAAGACCUUUGAGUCUAUUUCAAUGGCUUGCCUUCUCCUCUCUAUAUGAUACUCGAGUUGGAAACCUAGGGUUUGAGGUUUUGGCGAGUUUUGAUCUUGUGUUUAGAUAAGGGUUCUAUUUCAU